GUGCAGCAGGCGAGAAACCUUCGCAAUGCGCGAAAGCGCGACGAGGGGACUCCGAGUGCCUAUGCUCAGCAUAGGCUGUUCACCGGUGUAAAAAGCCGGUGGAGGAAGGGGUGGACAAGACCGGUGCCAGCCGCCGCGGUAAUACCAGCGCCCCAAGUGGUGAUCGAUAUUAUUGGGUCUAAAACGUCCGUAGCCGGCCCGGUAAAUCUCCGGGUAAAUCGUCCAGCUUAACUGGUCGAAUUCUGGGGGGACUGCCGGGCUUGGGACCGGGAGAGGUCGGAGGUACUCCAGGGGUAGGGGUGAAAUCCUGUAAUCCCAGGGGGACCACCGGUGGCGAAGGCGUCCGACUAGAACGGGUCCGACGGUAAGGGACGAAGGCUAGGGGAGCAAACGGGAUUAGAUACCCCGGUAGU
This 413-nucleotide ribosomal RNA is filed under the name uncultured microorganism. Its description in RNAcentral is "bacterial SSU rRNA". It matches the Rfam family "Archaeal small subunit ribosomal RNA", at positions 330 to 745 of the family's 1478-position model. The record is from RNAcentral.